GGGGUGUGCGGGCCGGGCCGGGCUUAGUGGGGUGGGGGAGCCCAGCGUUAGGGAGGGCUGCGUGCGGCCAAACAGUGCAGCCAGCAGAAGCAGGGAGGUGAUCGCCCCUCUGUGCUCCUCACUGCUAAGACCACACUUGGAGUGCUGUGUUCGGUUUUGGGCCCCCACUGCAGGAAGGGCGUUGAGGCUCUGGAGUAUGUCCAGAGAAGGGCAACAAAGCUGUGAGGGGACUGGAGCGCAGGUCUGAUGGAAGAGGCUGAGGGAGCUGGGAUUGUUCGGUGUGGAGGAGGCUCAGGGGAGACCUGAUUGCUCUCUACAGCUGCCUGAAAGGAGGCUGUGGUGAGGUGGGGGUCAGCCUCUUCUCCCAGGUAACAGUGAUGGGAUGAGUGGAAAUGGCCUCAUACUGCACCAGGGGAGGUUCAGGUUGGAUAUUAUGAAGAAUUUCUUCUCAGAAAUAGUGAGGCAGUGGCACAGGCUGCCCAGGGAGGUGGUGCAGUCGCCAUCCCUGGGUGUGUUCAAGAACUGUAUGGAUGUGGCACUGAGGGACAUGGUCUGUGAGCAGUCUCAGGCAUGGGCUGAUGGUUGGACGAGGUGAUCUUAGUGCUCGUUUCCAACCUUAAUGAUCUAUAAUCCUAUGAUUGAUCUGAAGAUGCCUUCUGGCUGCAGGAUCUUUAUGCACACAGAGGUGUUGGGCUUUCUUUCAGAGCAGCUGAGGAACACUCUGUGGAAGCCCAUGGUUGGUAAACACCAUUUGGUAGGCCGAUCCCCAGCGUUAUCUGUCUGCACUGUCACCUGUGGCCAGCACUGACGGAGACAUCCUAGGAACAUGGGUUGCUGCAGGUGGUCUGUGGGAGUGCGACCACCACAGUGAGCCACAGGCAGACACACCAGGGCCUGGAAGGUGCAGCAGCCCUCUGAGGGCUGAAACUGGGGAUUUAGCUGGCAUCUCCCGAAGAACCCAGAGUGUCUGUGGUGUAGAAGGCAUUGUAAAAGGCAAACACUGAAAGACACUGGAAAUGGAAAGUAUGAGAAGGCACAGUGUUUCAAGAACGAGCCAGCAGGUGAUAGCUUCCUUCAGCGUUCAGGAAUUCUCAUUAGUGAAGCAUUUCUAAGUGGCAACUCAGUAAAACUGUUUUCCAUAUGUCUGGUGGCUGUUGUCCUCGAAUUGUUUACUGCUGCUCUCCUGCUGGCUAACAAAGGAUGGGCUUGCAGUGUUACCUUUCAGCAGGGGACUGAACGAGCUGGAGAGGGAGGAGGAGGAUGCAGUUUCUCCCAGCAGUACGGGAAAUGUGAAUUACCCAAAGGAACCGCUGCUUAUGCUUGACUGUGCCUCCCUCACAGUGUAAGUGUGUCACAACACAGGCUCCACGGGGGUGCUUUGAAGGUGUGCCUUGGCUCGGGAUCAGUGGAGCCUCUGCAUACUCAAAGGCACGGGUGACUUUGCUUUGAGGUGGCAGAAAAAAUGUGGCAGCGUUUUGCAAACAUGAGCUGCGAGUCAUCAGAAUGAGCUGCCGGUUACUCAAUGGGGUAUGAUAUACAGAUACACGGUGUGAGGGGAAAAAAAAAAGUUAGACCACUAGCAAACCACACUUGACAUCUCAUAACAUUUAACUCAGUGUCUCAAUCAUAAAUAAACGAUUUUACACUUCUUACUAUCUUUUGUGUGUGUGUGUGUGUGUGUGUGUGUGGUUACGUGUUUUUGUACUGGCUGCACUCCUGUGUUAUUCCUUUUAAAAACAAGAGCUGAGAUGGUAAGGAAAACUGUGCAUUGGUUUGUGUAGAGACCAGCUUCAGCUGCCUUGCAAAUAAAAAGUGUGCUGAUUGUUCAACACUGCCGAGCUUCCCCCCAAUGCCAGAGCCACUGUGAGCUGCCUCUGUUGCUGUGAGCGUGGAUCCAUUGUUAGCAGCACUGAAGCACUGUCUUCAAACUUCC
Molecule: long non-coding RNA, 1933 nt
Filed under: Gallus gallus (chicken)
Lineage: Eukaryota; Metazoa; Chordata; Aves; Galliformes; Phasianidae
Description: lncRNA (ENSGALG00010002775.1)
Source: RNAcentral